This 668-nucleotide ribosomal RNA is filed under the name uncultured Bacteroidota bacterium. RNAcentral describes it as "bacterial SSU rRNA". It matches the Rfam family "Bacterial small subunit ribosomal RNA", at positions 1 to 669 of the family's 1533-position model. The record is from RNAcentral. Lineage: Bacteria; Pseudomonadati; Bacteroidota.
GGAUCCAGACUUUGAUCAUGGCUCAGGACGAACGCUGGCGGCGUGCUUAACACAUGCAAGUCGAACGAGAAUCUGUGGAUCGAGGAUUCGUCCAAGUGAAGCAGAGGACAGUGGCGGACGGGUGAGUAACGCGUGAGGAACCUGCCUUUCAGAGGGGGACAACAGUUGGAAACGACUGCUAAUACCGCAUGAUACAUUUGGGUGGCAUCAUCUGAAUGUCAAAGAUUUAUCGCUGAAAGAUGGCCUCGCGUCUGAUUAGCUGGUUGGUGAGGUAACGGCCCACCAAGGCGACGAUCAGUAGCCGGACUGAGAGGUUGACCGGCCACAUUGGGACUGAGAUACGGCCCAGACUCCUACGGGAGGCAGCAGUGGGGAAUAUUGGGCAAUGGGCGCAAGCCUGACCCAGCAACGCCGCGUGAAGGAAGAAGGCUUUCGGGUUGUAAACUUCUUUUAAGAGGGAAGAGCAGAAGACUGUACCUCUAGAAUAAGCCACGGCUAACUACGUGCCAGCAGCCGCGGUAAUACGUAGGUGGCAAGCGUUGUCCGGAUUUACUGGGUGUAAAGGGCGUGCAGCCGGGAAUGCAAGUCAGAUGUGAAAUCCAUGGGCUUAACCCAUGAACUGCAUUUGAAACUGUAUUUCUUGAGUACUGGAGAGGCAAUCGGAAUUC